GACGAACGCUGGCGGCGUGCUUAACACAUGCAAGUCGAACGGAAAGGCCCUGCUUUUGUGGGGUGCUCGAGUGGCGAACGGGUGAGUAACACGUGAGUAACCUGCCCUUGACUUUGGGAUAACUUCAGGAAACUGGGGCUAAUACCGGAUAGGAGCUCCUGCUGCAUGGUGGGGGUUGGAAAGUUUCGGCGGUUGGGGAUGGACUCGCGGCUUAUCAGCUUGUUGGUGGGGUAGUGGCUUACCAAGGCUUUGACGGGUAGCCGGCCUGAGAGGGUGACCGGCCACCUUGGGACUGAGAUACGGCCCAGACUCCUCCGGGAGGCAGCAGUGGGGAAUAUUGCACCCUGGGCGGAAGCCUGAUGCAGCAACGCCGCGUGCGGGAUGACGGCCUUCGGGUUGUAAACCGCUUUCGCCUGUGACGAAGCGUGAGUGACGGUAAUGGGUAAAGAAGCACCGGCUAACUACGUG
This 468-nucleotide ribosomal RNA is filed under the name uncultured bacterium. RNAcentral's name for it is "partial 16S ribosomal RNA". It matches the Rfam family "Bacterial small subunit ribosomal RNA", at positions 28 to 507 of the family's 1533-position model. The record is from RNAcentral.